Molecule: long non-coding RNA, 875 nt
Organism: Chelonia mydas (Green sea turtle)
Lineage: Eukaryota; Metazoa; Chordata; Testudines; Cheloniidae
Exons: 4
Source: RefSeq, a predicted model, not a curated record
CGUGCUGCCUGGAGCCCCGGGGGCUGGGGGCGGCUGCCCCAGGUCCGGUCGCCGGGCCGUGCCACACAGAGCCCCGGGGCCGGCCGGGCUCGUAGCCCCACUGCCCGGAGCAUGGGCCGGCGGCGCCGGGAGCGGAGGCUGCGGGGGGGGAACAGCAGGGUUUCCCCAAGACCGACCAACAGCUGUGAAUGGUGUGGAGGAGAAGGUGUUGGUAUUUGGUUGUGUAUUGGUAUUAUGUGUAUGUGUUGAGGCUUGUCGGGGCUUUGUGCUGGGGGAGAAGCUGAGCCCUGAUUCGGGGCCGGGGCUUCUCUGACUCGGGGUCCUGUGAAGGGAGCCAGCCCGUCAGGCCGUGGCACAGGAGCCAGCAAACAGGGCUGUAAACAGGGGAGUCUGAGAGGGAGUUUGUCUUGUGGUGCUUGUUGGGGGUUUGUUGUUGCUGUGGGGGGUGGGGUUUGGGUGUUUCCCAGGUGAACAGGAUUUAGGUGGGAAGGGGAUGAGAGACACAGAGGCAGCAGUGGGAGUGACUCAUGUCGUGGAAGACACAAUGCAGACGACUGGCUGUGGAAGCUGCCGUAUGUCCAUGAUCCUGGAGGGGUACCUGUACCAAGGAAAAAGAAGUCAAGCCUCAGAGUCUACUGCCCUCAUGCGACGGAAAGUGAGUGAGAGCAGCGAGCCUGUGACCGUUGGUGAUGCCAGGCAAGAGGCCACCAUCUGGGAGCCGAGCAAUCGCCAGUCUCGGUGAGAGGCUGCUCGUUUCUCUGGUCAGGAACGGUGUCUUCUCCACAGCUGAAGGUUGGAUCCAAGAGGAUGACUCCAGGUGGACACGGGUAGGUGUGCAUUCCCACAGGUGAGGUCUCGGGAGCCAUGGAGAAGUC